This 254-nucleotide unclassified non-coding RNA is filed under the name uncultured Acidimicrobiia bacterium. RNAcentral's name for it is "contains 16S-23S intergenic spacer region". It matches the Rfam family "Bacterial small subunit ribosomal RNA", at positions 524 to 776 of the family's 1533-position model. The record is from RNAcentral. Lineage: Bacteria; Bacillati; Actinomycetota; Acidimicrobiia.
UACGGGCGGAGCAAGCGUUGAUCGGAUUUAUUGGGCGUAAAGAGCUCGUAGGCGGCUUGGUAAGUCGGACGUGAAAUCUCCUGGCUCAACUGGGAGGGGCCGUUCGAUACUGCCAUGGCUAGAGUCCGGUAGAGGCGUGUGGAAUUCCCGGUGUAGCGGUGAAAUGCGCAGAUAUCGGGAGGAACACCUACAGCGAAGGCAGCACUCUGGGCCGGCACUGACGCUGAGGAGCGAAAGCGUGGGGAGCAAACAGG